GCCCGGGUGGUGGAAGGGUAGACACAAGGCACUUAAAAUGCCUCGGCCACAAGCCAUGUCGGUUCGAUUCCGACCCCGGGCACCA
RNAcentral lists this transfer RNA (85 nucleotides) under Candidatus Uhrbacteria bacterium. RNAcentral describes it as "tRNA-Leu". It matches the Rfam family "tRNA". Rfam says of the family: Transfer RNA (tRNA) molecules are approximately 80 nucleotides in length. Their secondary structure includes four short double-helical elements and three loops (D, anti-codon, and T loops). Lineage: Bacteria; Candidatus Uhriibacteriota. The record is from RNAcentral.